Molecule: ribosomal RNA, 407 nt
Filed under: uncultured bacterium
Lineage: Bacteria
Also listed under: 1 other name
Description: partial 16S ribosomal RNA
Rfam family: Bacterial small subunit ribosomal RNA
Source: RNAcentral
UGGGGAAUAUUGCACAAUGGGCGCAAGCCUGAUGCAGCGACGCCGCGUGAGGGAUGACGGCCUUCGGGUUGUAAACCUCUUUCAGUAGGGAAGAAGCGUAAGUGACGGUACCUGCAGAAGAAGCGCCGGCUAACUACGUGCCAGCAGCCGCGGUAAUACGUAGGGCGCAAGCGUUAUCCGGAAUUAUUGGGCGUAAAGAGCUCGUAGGCGGUUUGUCGCGUCUGCCGUGAAAGUCCGGGGCUCAACUCCGGAUCUGCGGUGGGUACGGGCAGACUAGAGUGAUGUAGGGGAGACUGGAAUUCCUGGUGUAGCGGUGAAAUGCGCAGAUAUCAGGAGGAACACCGAUGGCGAAGGCAGGUCUCUGGGCAUUAACUGACGCUGAGGAGCGAAAGCAUGGGGAGCGAACA